UUCAUGACUCAAUUUUUUUUC
RNAcentral lists this non-coding RNA (21 nucleotides) under Caenorhabditis elegans. The record is from RNAcentral. Lineage: Eukaryota; Metazoa; Nematoda; Chromadorea; Rhabditida; Rhabditidae.